CGGGGCGUAGCGCAGCCCGGUUAGCGCGCCUGCCUUGGGCGCAGGAGGCCGUGGGUUCGAAUCCCGCCGCCCCGACCA
RNAcentral lists this transfer RNA (78 nucleotides) under candidate division BRC1 bacterium HGW-BRC1-1. RNAcentral's name for it is "tRNA-Pro". It matches the Rfam family "tRNA". Rfam says of the family: Transfer RNA (tRNA) molecules are approximately 80 nucleotides in length. Their secondary structure includes four short double-helical elements and three loops (D, anti-codon, and T loops). Lineage: Bacteria; Candidatus Sumerlaeota. The record is from RNAcentral.